Molecule: ribosomal RNA, 253 nt
Filed under: uncultured bacterium
Lineage: Bacteria
Description: partial 16S ribosomal RNA
Rfam family: Bacterial small subunit ribosomal RNA
Source: RNAcentral
UACGUAGGGGGCAAGCGUUAUCCGGAUUUACUGGGUGUAAAGGGAGCGUAGACGGUCCUGCAAGCCAGAUGUGAAAGCCCGGGGCUCAACCCCGGGACUGCAUUUGGAACUGUAAGGCUAGAGUGUCGGAGAGGCAGGCGGAAUUCCUAGUGUAGCGGUGAAAUGCGUAGAUAUUAGGAGGAAUACCAGUGGCGAAGGCGGCCUGCUGGACGAUGACUGACGUUGAGGCUCGAAAGCGUGGGGAGCAAACAGG